Molecule: long non-coding RNA, 2757 nt
Filed under: Homo sapiens (human)
Lineage: Eukaryota; Metazoa; Chordata; Mammalia; Primates; Hominidae
Description: HSALNT0324805
Source: RNAcentral
AUGACUGCAAUGGAUAGCAAGGCCUGAGUGGCAAGCAGAGUGCCUUUACCUGGAAGAGCUGGAAAUACGUGAAUUUUCUCAUUUAUGUAACAGAGAGAGAAAAAAGAGAGAAGACAGAGAGAGAGAGAGAGAGAGAGAGUAAGCAGAAGGCCAAUGUCAGCCCUGCACCAAGUUCAUUUCAGAAUUGGUCCAAUAGAUCCACCCCCCACCUGCAUUUUCCACCCUGUUUUACUGUCCGUUGUUUGCCUACUUGUGUUCACCCACCCUCGCUACGGCCAUGGUGGUGCUAUGGUCACACUGGCCUUACUGAGCAUGGGCUACAUUACCGGAGCUUGAACCGUACGCUCUUGCUUGAUAAAACCCUCCUAAAGCAUUCUGAGGGAGACAUCACUGUCACUGUUACAGAUGCAACAUUGAGCCCAAGGCUAGACAUCGCAGAGCAGCAGACCUGGCGUCUGGCUGUUCUAGUGCAUGACCAUGAAUUGAGGAGACCCUCAGACAAUGCUGCCUUCUAUGUGUUUAAAAUAGAUCCUUCAGACUAUCAUUUGCUUAUUUAUUUUAGAUUCGUGGUUCUAUUUGAAACUAUUUAAAAGUCACGGCAUCCCGUUGGCAUUAUGUAAAGCCAUGUGCCUGUAUUUCAUCUUCCCUCCCUACCUAUCACCUGGAUAUUAUGUCACUUUUCCUCUUUAUAGAGAAAAAUUGUUAGUCUUUUCCACAUAUUUAAAAAUUGUCCAAAAGAAAUGUAUUUGUUUUAAAAUGAUGGUUAGCGAGUUUUCUUCUUUGCUUUGUUUUUAACUGCUGUGGUUAUACACGGUGCUCUGUGAAUGAAGGGUUUCAGCCAAAGAACUGCAGAGCAGAGGCUUCCUAGAGAGGGGCAUGGUGGGCAGCAUCUCUGCACUGUGUCCAGCUUUCACCCCAGAACCACCCUGGGCCAGCAUGCACCGACUGUUGCAAGAGAAGGCCUCUUGGCAGAAAGAAAAAAAACCACUACAGCAUCCAGGUGACAGAGAGAGGACGCAACCAUGCCCGCUUUGCCUCCGCGACGCAUUGUAUUUUUCCUAAACUGCAGUUCCCCGGCACCCUGUCUGUAUUGCGUAUUGGCUUGCUCAGCUAUACUGUGUGCAUUUCCUAAGAAAGACGGAGCAGCAGAUGAGGCUCCGAUCGCACUCCUGGCGCUGUCCAGCCCAUGGUGGGAGAAGUGCAGCCGCGUCUGAACGUACCUCUUCUGAGAGCCGCGCACGCAGAUUUAGGAGCUGAUUGUGACGAUGACUAUUUCUGAGCUAAUCUUUCAAAUGUUUCUUUCUAUGAAAUGAAGACGUAAAUAAAACAGGAAGGAAAUAUCACCAAGCAGGAAAAGGGGGAGGAAAGCAUUUGGUGUUGGGUUCUGUAAUCACCAGAGUGCUCCUGCCCGUGGCUAAUGCUGGAACCAGGAGAAGGGGCUCUGAAGAAAACACAGCAUGGAAACCAGAAAGAAGAUGAUCAGAUUACCAGCCCCUGGAUUUGUGAGCCGGUCUCAAUCGGACCAGAGCAGGCUUGAUUUCAGACCCGCAGAGUCUCAGACGCCAACCUCACCCCCUUCCUCCCCGCACACCACUAUUUUUAAAGAACCCCCAACCUCUUUCCAAUCAUGAUAGUGUUGCUUUCUUUUCUUUUUCUAUUUUUUUUUUUCCUUAUCUAUCCACCGAAAAUCUUCUAAUGAAAGAGAGUACCACUUCAGGAACUUCAGGGUUGGGAAAAUCAGACGGAUUCGUGGAUUUCAAGUUAGAAAUGCCUCCUAGAAUAUUUAAAAUCAAAACAGAUAGAGAAGUGGAAACUUAAGUUCUUUGCCCCUUGAAGAAAUGUACAUGUCUCUUGCAGAUAUUCUUCGGGGCAGGCAAUAGUGGGGUUCUCUUUCACAGCAUCCUCAUCACUUUCGUGAUUCUGAAUCGCCCCUGUCACCCUUUGAAAGAAGAAGAGACCCAGCUCCGUGCUCAGCAUGCCUGCUUCUCAGAGCUGCCCCCUUUGGAUUUUGAGGGAGAAGGGUUUAUGUUGUUUAUUGGGGUGGUAAAAAAAAAUGCCUGAUGCCUGUUUCCUUGUGCUUAGCACAACCAGGGUGGCAUUCAUCUUCAAUAAUGUAAGUGUAUGUGCAUUACCUUUGAAGACCUAGGGUAGUAUAAGGAAUGGUUGGGAGUGGCCCGUCGGGACUAAUCUCCUCUACCUGCAGUGUCCCAGGACCCACGUUUGGCUUCAUGGAGAACCUGGACCACACAUCUCCAACCUGCCAUGUUCUUCCUCCAGGUUCUGUCACUGAGUCAUAAACUCAGGGAAGGUGCUAGAGACAUCAAGAUGGGGAAUGUCUAUUCCCUGUCCAUCUGGAUUUUACAAUAAGCAGCAAGAUAGAUUCAUCCAAAAGAGCUCAGUUUUUUAAAAGAUAUUGAGCAAAGAUGAGCAUGUACAAAAACAUGAAAAACCAUGCUCUGAGGAAAGACUCAUGCGUUCAUUGAACAAGUAAGAUAAUUGAGCUGUAGAAAGAAAUAUGGUGAAAUACCCUUGCAAAGAAAUUUUGAAAAAUGUCAUGUUGCCUUUUAUGUUAUCUUGAUGUAGAACCAAAACCACAACAAAAUUGCCAGCUUUGCAAGAAAAGUCAUUAUGGCUAGGGGAAGAAAAAAAGAACAUACAAGACAAAAGCAAUGUUGGUAAAUGACAGGAAGCAUGCCAAGUUCUUCAGUCACAUAUAAACUACAAUGAAAUAAAAUAAAUCUUACAUUAAUAAGAAAA